AUAAAGAAAUGAACUCAAAUGUGCUGAGAAUGUUCCAAAGCCAAGCAACUAUCCUGCACCAUUCCCAGAAAGAAGUGGGAUAGUUGUAUGCUAAAUAACCAUUGGACAACCACACUCUCACCAAUCUCUAAGAACAUAUGGUUCUCAGAACAUUAUGUGCUAGCUGGGAACACUCAAAAGAUUACAAUAGUACUUAAACCCAUGUCUGGAGAGAGGACACCUCCGGAACAGAGGCUAAGUAAAACAUCCCUACAUCCUCACAGGCCCAAGGUCACAGCCUGGUUGUCCAGUGACAGUGCAGAAUGCAUCAAAGGUUCCUCUAUUGCCUUCUCCAUCCUCGGUCAAGACGAAUAAUAUGAUCAUAUGAGUCUGAGUGCAUCCCUGUAAUAACCUAACGUCAUGUCUUCCUUCUUCCAGCCACUGUGUCUGAGUCUGAGUGUCCUGGUCGCAGAGAACCCAGCUGAGAGGUCAGGCGUCGAGCGAGUAGGUGCCAUGGUGUGGGAUACCGUCAUGUCUGCCUGGUGAGGUGAGGGAGGGAGACGGGAGAGGAGAUGGAAAAUGGCCCUGGCUGUUUGCACCAUGUGGAGAGGACACCUAGCCAGUCUCCAUAUCCUCAGGGCUCCUGGGGUCAGGACAUUAAAGCUAGGGGUGAGAUAGCUGUCCCUCUCUGACUGGAGCUCUUUGAUGACUUGAGGGAAGCCUUUGUGUGUGUGUAAUAGCCAGUAGGACCCGGAUAAACAGGCCCUUUCUGCCCACUAAAAGCCUUUGUUGUCUGGUAUGUGUGGAGAUGGGGUGGUGGAGGGUUAAGACGUCCGCAUGCUGUCCAUCCGGAACAGUUCGUGCACAUAAUAUGGAAACAUUUUGUGCCGUUAUAGUUUUUUUGAACCUUUUUUUUUACUGUUUGUGCAUACAAUAUUUCUUUCUAGAGGCAACCCGAAAUUCGGUUGCCGAAGUCUAUGCCCCUUCGGUGGUGAUUGGUCAACUGUAGGAGCGAAGAUUCAACCCGAAACCCAUUGUGGAUUCAAAAUGGCAAAUGACAACAACUAAAAUAGUUGGUGGGGGUUCUUGCAGGAACAUAACUGCCCAACUGAAUCAUUUGGAUUUGAAUUUGAAACAGGUGCAGGAACAUAACUGAAAAAUGUAAAGAUCUCCUCAAUUUAAGGUAUGUUUUGUCCCUUGUAUGAUCUAAAUUGAUAUUGUUUUAUGAUGAUACCAUCUAUCAUUUAAUAUUUGUGGAAAUCUUUUUAAAAUAGAAAAUGGACCCAAUUCAAUGGACAUCAAUCAACAAAGAGGUAUACAGACGAGGAGGCAUACAAAGGUAUUGGUAUGUUAUGCAGAUCACAUUUAACAUCCUCCUCCCUUACCUCUUCAAUAAACAUCCCAUAGGCCUCUACAUUAUGGACAAGACUUCACCCUCCCUACACCUCUGACUAAUAUAACAGGAAAAAUGUUUGAUCACCAUGCACUGCAAAAUCAUUGUGGCUAUGGAUACGGAGAACAUCAACAUUGUCAAGGAUUUCCUCCUCUUCUUCCGAAGAGGAGAGGCGAAAAGGAUCAGAGGACCAAUAUGCGGCGUGGCCCUGACACCUAUAGCUGAUUUCAUGGAUGACCUAUCGCCAAAACGAUCACCAGCUGCAUGAGUUCGUGCAUGACUUCAAGAAGAGGACAUGGACCAAACGACUGAGAACACAGUGAAAUGAACAACUUGUUCUGUUGUUGUUCAGAUAUCUCAGGAAUCCAGCCUGGUCUCAUAGACUAGACGUAACAUAGUAAAUGUUCAUCCGGGCCACUAAAAUGUGUACGAUAUGUCCCGUUUGGUUUGGUUACACAAGACAGAUGGUUACUUUAGGCAAAAAAAGAAAGAAGGGUGGUUGGUCGGGCAUAUUAACACGAACAUCUAGCAAUUGUGAGUUUGAAUCUCAUCAUGGACAACUUUUGCAUUUUAGCUAAUUAGCAACUUUUCAUCUACUUACUACUUUAAAACUACUUAGCACGUUAACUAUCCCUUCCCCUAGCCUUAACCCUUUUAGCGAAUAUACCAUAUGAAACUUAACAUAUCAUAUUAAAUGGAGCGUGCCAGAUUUACGUACAGAAUAAUACGAAAUGCUCCGAGACCAGGUUGAGGAAUCAGGGGAUUGUCACGUACGUUAUAUGAAUCGGGCCAAGGCGCAGCGUGGUAUUCGUACAUUCUUUAUUUAAUUAAGAAUAAACACUGAACAAACUAACAAAAACGACACGUGAAGAUAUACAAAUGAGUGCUGACAGGCAACUACACAUAGACAAGAACCUACAAACACAAAAUGGCAAAUGGCUACCUAAAUAUGAUCCCCAAUCAGAGACAACGAUAA
Oncorhynchus kisutch (coho salmon) is the source of this 2348-nucleotide long non-coding RNA. RefSeq lists it as uncharacterized. The record is from RefSeq and is a predicted model, not a curated record. Lineage: Eukaryota; Metazoa; Chordata; Actinopteri; Salmoniformes; Salmonidae. The transcript is spliced from 4 exons.